RNAcentral lists this ribosomal RNA (468 nucleotides) under uncultured bacterium. RNAcentral's name for it is "partial 16S ribosomal RNA". It matches the Rfam family "Bacterial small subunit ribosomal RNA", at positions 28 to 507 of the family's 1533-position model. The record is from RNAcentral.
GACGAACGCUGGCGGCGUGCUUAACACAUGCAAGUCGAACGGAAAGGCCCUGCUUUUGUGGGGUGCUCGAGUGGCGAACGGGUGAGUAACACGUGAGUAACCUGCCCUUGACUUUGGGAUAACUUCAGGAAACUGGGGCUAAUACCGGAUAGGAGCUCCUGCUGCAUGGUGGGGGUUGGAAAGUUUCGGCGGUUGGGGAUGGACUCGCGGCUUAUCAGCUUGUUGGUGGGGUAGUGGCUUACCAAGGCUUUGACGGGUAGCCGGCCUGAGAGGGUGACCGGCCACCUUGGGACUGAGAUACGGACCAGACUCCUACGGGAGGCAGCAGUGGGGAAUAUUGCACAAUGGGCGGAAGCCUGAUGCAGCAACGCCGCGUGCGGGAUGACGGCCUUCGGGUUGUAAACCGCUUUCGCCUGUGACGAAGCGUGAGUGACGGUAAUGGGUAAAGAAGCACCGGCUAACUACGUG